GAUGAACGCUAGCUACAGGCUUAACACAUGCAAGUCGAGGGGAAACGACAUCGAAAGCUUGCUUUUGAUGGGCGUCGACCGGCGCACGGGUGAGUAACGCGUAUCCAACCUGCCCACCACUUGGGGAUAACCUUGCGAAAGUAAGACUAAUACCCAAUGACGUCUCUAGAAGACAUCUGAAAGAGAUUAAAGAUUUAUCGGUGAUGGAUGGGGAUGCGUCUGAUUAGCUUGUUGGCGGGGUAACGGCCCACCAAGGCGACGAUCAGUAGGGGUUCUGAGAGGAAGGUCCCCCCAAUUGGAACUGGGACACGGUCCAAACUCCUACGGGAGGCAGCAGUGAGGAAUAUUGGUCAAUGGGCGAGAGCCUGAACCAGCCAAGUAGCGUGCAGGAUGACGGCCCUAUGGGUUGUAAACUGCUUUUAUAAGGGAAUAAAGUGAGUCUCGUGAGACUUUUUGCAUGUACCUUAUGAAUAAGGACCGGCUAAUUCCGUGCCAGCCGCCGCGGUAA
This 508-nucleotide ribosomal RNA is filed under the name uncultured bacterium. Its description in RNAcentral is "partial 16S ribosomal RNA". It matches the Rfam family "Bacterial small subunit ribosomal RNA", at positions 28 to 523 of the family's 1533-position model. The record is from RNAcentral.